This 139-nucleotide unclassified non-coding RNA is filed under the name uncultured Inocybe. RNAcentral's name for it is "sequence contains ITS1, 5.8S rRNA gene, ITS2". Lineage: Eukaryota; Fungi; Basidiomycota; Agaricomycetes; Agaricales; Cortinariaceae. The record is from RNAcentral.
GGAAGGAUCAUUAUAGAAUAAACUUGAACGGGCUGUUGCUCUCCCAUAGGGUGGUGCACGCCUGUCAUAUUUAUCUCUCCCACUGUGCACAUUUUGUAGACCUGGUGUUUGGGAAUUGCUGUGGGUCAGCUCUGCCCUU